AGUUAAUUAGCUUAAGAAAAGCAUAUACUUUGAAAGUAUAUAAAGAGGGUUUAAUUCCCUUAUUAACUU
This 69-nucleotide transfer RNA is filed under the name Velinus nodipes. Its description in RNAcentral is "tRNA-Ser". It matches the Rfam family "tRNA". From Rfam's summary of the family: Transfer RNA (tRNA) molecules are approximately 80 nucleotides in length. Their secondary structure includes four short double-helical elements and three loops (D, anti-codon, and T loops). Lineage: Eukaryota; Metazoa; Arthropoda; Insecta; Hemiptera; Reduviidae. The record is from RNAcentral.